Molecule: long non-coding RNA, 1205 nt
Filed under: Felis catus (domestic cat)
Lineage: Eukaryota; Metazoa; Chordata; Mammalia; Carnivora; Felidae
Description: lncRNA (ENSFCAG00000051832.1)
Source: RNAcentral
UGUUGAGGCCAAGAAACAGUGGAAAAGCACAGUCAGAGAGGGAACAGAAAGGGGGCUGAUAUGGAAGUACAUGUUCCAUCUCCAAUCAGUCUACACUGAGUUAAGACUAUGGUUCCCACACCGGGCCCUGCGGCAGAAUCGCCUGGCAAGGUCAGUGAACAUGCAGGUUCUUGGCCCCACUGCCAUCCUGCCAAGUCAAACCCACAUGGGGUGGGGAAAUUUGGGUGUGUGUGUGUGUGUGUGUGUGUGUGUGUGUUCAAUGAGGUCCCCUGGGAUUCUAAUGCCACAUGCCUCAACUCUGAGUUUGAAAUUGUUUGAUUGGUGAGCAAAUUGCACGCAAGUUGGUGAUGCUCUCACUCAAGGCCACAGGCAGCCCUCCAAGGACAGACCCUGAACCCAGAACGUGGAAUGGGCAGGCCAGGUCGACUCCCAGGGAAGCACUGCACAGCCUGAGCAUGUGCUCACCUUAGGUUGGUUGGGCUUCCAUUCCUCCCCAGAACCUCUUUUCUAGCACUUCGUGGUUUUCUUUGACAAAAUCAACUAUAGCUGAACGACUUUGAACUGCACAGGCGCACAUAUUGGUGGUGGGUCUUUUUCAGUAAAUACGGCACAGUACUACAAAUGUAUUUUCUCUUAUUCAUGGUUUUCUUAACAUUUUCUUUCCCCUAGCUUACUUUAUCGUGAGAAUACAGUAUAUGAUAUAUUUAAUGUAUAAAAUAUGGGUGAAUCUACUGUGCAUGCUAUUGGUAAGGCUUCUGAUCAACAGUAGGCUAUUACCAGUUAAGUUUUGGGGGAGUCAAAAGUUAGGUAUGAAGUUUUGACUGAGCUAUGGGUCAGUGCCCCUAACCCCUCUGUUGUUCAAGAGUCAGCUAUAUUACAAAUAUUUGAUGAUAGAAACUUGAAUGUUGACUUCCUUCCUGUUUAACAUAUUUGUCAACCAAUCUUACCUAUCAGAGGUAAGUGGAAACUUAUCAGCGCCUGGCUCAUUCAAGACAAGCCUGGGGUCACUAAACCAUUAUCUUAUUUACUUUCGAGUUUCUGUUUGCCUGAUCUGUUUUACCUUCCACUGCAAAGUGAUUUGGAAAGUCGGGAUUAGACCACUACCCCUGAGAGAAACGGCUUGGGCAGAUGAGACAGUGCCUCUGUUUCUUUCGGCUUUGUUUGCUCCUAAGGGUGUAGUGAAAAACAGACUCCACAGAGGCUAG